GAAAUAGAAUCAAAAGCCUUUUCGAAAUCAAUUAACAAAAAGAGUCCAGGUAUUUCCUGAUCUUCUGUGUAUUGCAUGAUAUCAUAUAAAAGCCUUAUAUUUUCUCCUAUGUACCUCCCACUGAUAAAACCAGUCUGAUCUAGAUUAAUAAGUUUGUCAAGGACAGUCUUAAAUCUAUUUGCAAUUACUGCUGACCCAAUUUUAUAGACAGUGUUUAAAAGUGAAAUAGGACGCCAAUUUUGACAAUAUGAACUUGUUCAUACGAAAGAUUUGAAAAG
RNAcentral lists this long non-coding RNA (278 nucleotides) under Mytilus galloprovincialis (Mediterranean mussel). The record is from RNAcentral. Lineage: Eukaryota; Metazoa; Mollusca; Bivalvia; Mytilida; Mytilidae.